This 5994-nucleotide long non-coding RNA is filed under the name Heterocephalus glaber (naked mole-rat). Its description in RNAcentral is "lncRNA (ENSHGLG00000036676.1)". The record is from RNAcentral. Lineage: Eukaryota; Metazoa; Chordata; Mammalia; Rodentia; Bathyergidae.
CUCUUUGCGUCUCUCUGGGUCCCUGCCCCUCUCUCUGCAUCUGUGACCGUCUCCCUCUCCUGAGUCGGGGGGGGGGGGGGGACGACUUUCUGCGUCUGUCCCUGUGCACCUCUCCGCAUCUCUUCUCUGUUUCCGUUUAGCUCUCUGCCUCUCAUUUCUUUCUGUUUUUGCUUUUGCAUCUCCCAAGUUUUUGCCUGUCUCUCCGUGCGUGUCUCUCUGUUUCUGUGGGGUCUCUACCUCUCAGCCUUUCGCUGUUUUUCUUUGGUGGCCCCUGGGCGGCCCUUGGGAUAACCCAGGUCUGGCCUUUGUUUUGUUUUGGCACCCAUUCCUCAGGGAGAGGUGAGAAGUGGUGGCAGAAAUGGGGGAUGGGGCAGGGAAAUCCCUUUCCGAAGCCUCCUCUCCCCUCCCUCACUACCCCAAACCCUAUCUUGCCUUGUUCUGCCCUGCCAGACGUUGUAUCCAGGCUACAUAGCCAGCUAUGUACCUAACUGCAUUUCAAAUCGUGAUGCCUCAAUUUCCCCAGCUAUGAAUGGGGCGACUUUCCUCCUUGCUGUGGGCUCUGGCUUCCAUGAGCCAGCUGACCUGACACUUGGCACCAACUCGAGUGGAGGUGGACAGGUGUUUUUUCUUUCCCUGGGUGGGACAAGACAGGCCCUGGGAAAGGCCUUUAGCCUCUGCCUAGUUGGCACUGAUGAAAGGUAGCAUGAGGCUCAGCCUGCUCCAUGCUAAUUUCUCUCAUGUGUAGGGGAUUGGUUGGGGACUCAGUUUUACCCCAAAGCUAUCUAUGUCCCUUCUGUUUGGGAUUAGUUAUCUUUACCACACAUGUGAGAAAAUUGAAGUUAAGAGAGGGUGUGAGGGUUUUCUCAAAGUCACAGAGCAAGCUGGGCCACUGUGUUGAGUCCCUCCACGGUGGUCUUGGGCUUCAGCCUUGAGAGACAGGGAGUUUUGGAGGGGCUGCUGUGAUUCUGAGCUGCCUUGGGCUGCCCUGAGGAGACUUUCACAGGGGAAUUUCUGGGAUGUCUCAGGCCGAGGUCCCAGAUGGUGGUAGUGUGGCUGACUGAGGACCUGCCAGGGACCUGAGAGGGGAGGCUGGUGCUCAGGGAUCCCCAAAUGGUGUUUCUUCCUGUGCUGGGGUGGCUGUAAGGGUGAUCCCCCCUGAAGUGAGAGCUUGUCCAUUCCAGGAAGGCAGGGGUAGGCACUGGGCUAAAUGUUACUUUCUCAGCUAGUGAAUUGAGGUGUACACAUCUAGGGAUCUGCAGCAAAUGAAGGGUGAGGCUCUGAGCCUUGGCUCAUACAGGUUGACCCUAGGGUGGCAGAAAGUGAAGAGAAUUAAACUGUAUUACCUUUUUUUUUUUUCCCCCAGUACUGGGGAUUGAACUCAGGGCCUCUCGAAUACUGGACAGGCACAUUGCCACUGAAUUACAUCCUGUCCCCUUUUUAUUUUUAGACAGGGUCUCAGUAAGUUGAGGAUGAGGCUCUAUUCAGAGAGGGAAGCAGUGUGUGGGGGGAGUGGUCUUGGGGAAAAGGUUUGGUUGCCAAAAGGGAUGGUAGGGGAACCCUAGGCAUGAGAUUCCUGAGUUUGCCACCCACCUCAGGAGUAAAUGUGGAUUUUGGACUCUAGGACUCAGGUUCAUAUCCCACCUCCAAGCCAUAAGUUGCCUGUGAAAUGUGCACUUCAUAUCUAAUUCUGAGCCCUUACAUCUUGAUGCUGGGGGCACAGUGAAAACCAAAAGGGACAAAUACAGCUAGGAGCUGAUGUAGACAGUGAAAGCUAAAACAAAAAGUAAAGUACACAGUAGUUCAGAUAAUGGCCAGUGCUGUGGAUAAAAUAAAGCAGGAUGAGGGUGUGGGAGUAUGGGUAGGGGUACUUCAAACAUCAGGAUGGUUUAGGGAGGCCUCUUGGAGCAGGUGCCCUGGAGAGUAAUGAAGUGCAGUAGGAGCAGAAAGGAAGUAGAUGCAAAGUCACUGAGCCAGGAGCCUGCCUGUGAAUUGGAAGAGACCUUUAACAGGGCCUUGGGCCUGUGAUCAGAUGAGCCAGGGAGAGAGGAGGAGAUGUUGACAGAGAGGGCCAGACAAUGAAGACUUGGCUUUGACUGUGCAUGAGCCAGGAGCCCUUGGAGGAUCAUAAAUAGAAGGGGGCAGGGAGCUGACCAUGGUUUUUGCAGAUUCUUUCUGGCCUCAGAGUGGGGAACAGACUAUAGCAAGCCCUAGUCUAGGCAAGUGGCUGUGGAGCCUUGCAGGCUGGACUGAGAUGUUGGGGGAGGUGUUGGGGUUGGUGGCUGUAGGAUGCAUGAAGAGAGACUUCUGUGUAUCUUGAAGCUAAGCUAAUGAGGCUCAGGAAUGGAUUAGACUUGGGGUGUGAAGGACAAAGAUACUGGACAAAUGACCUAGUCUGUUCUGUAAAGCAGAAGCCUGGUAGGGUCCACUCAAGGGUGUGGGGAUACAAUACAGAUGUUCCUGUGUGCCUGACCAAGCAGACACUAGACUGUAGCCUGGGGCUGGCUAGUUAAGGUCAGAACAUGGCCGUGCUGGUGGGAAAGGGAAGCCUUCAUGAACCCCCAGGUGGAUGGACAACUCUGUCCUCAGAUGGGUUCACUGUUUCAGUGCCCAGUAGAGGACAAAAGAGUGAGCAAUGAAAAACAGGCUUGGAGGUACUGUGAUUAGUGCAAGGCCAAACACCUAGGUGAAGCCAGUUAUCCCCACCUGAACAGGGUGGGGUCCCUGUGUGCCGGUUCCCCAGGGAGCCUCUCAGGCAGACACUACAGUAUAAGUCCUCUUAGGUCCUUUCCUUGAUAGGCUGAGACUAAGUUACCUGGGAGUUUCUGGGUGGGGAGGUGGGUGACACCUUCAGGGGUCAGACAGGAAGCUAUCUCUCUCUGGGUCUCAGUCUGCCUGUGCCUACCUGAUCCUGGAUGUUAACCUAGACCUCUUGCCUCCAUGCUGGGGCCAUGUUUGAGGAGUGCAUGGACUUCCGCAUAGGACCCUGGCAUGGUUCCUUAUCAAGCUUCAGCUUGUGCCUCUAAAAAUGGGGGUACAGAAUACCAUGGGGCAGGUGGGGUCCUCUCCGGUGCCUUUACUUUUCUGAGCCUUAUUCUAUUUGUUACUAGAGCCUUGUGUAUGGAGGUGUUGACAUGGAUGUUGAGGAGAAUUUGGAGCUUGGAAAAGGUAGAUAGCCUAUGUGAGCCACACACAGGAAAGUCAGGGAUUCAGCAGCCAUCUCCCCAGUGACUGGAGGCACAAUCACCCAUUUAACAGUUGAGGACACUGAGGCACUGAGAGCAAGUGGACCUGCCUUCUUUCCCAGUACAUCAGCAGCAGAGACUGGAGGCCGCUGUCUUUGGUAGGCUCUGAGUGGAUGGGGCUACAGUGCCCAGGAAUGUGUCCCCAGCAGCCCUCCCUCCCCACAGACUGUGGAGCAUGGAUUCCCCAAUCAGCCCAGUGCCCUGGCCUUCGAUCCUGAACUUCGAAUCAUGGCUAUCGGCACCAGGUCUGGGGCCGUCAAGAUGUAUCCUUUGCAGCUGUGGCCCAGGGCCCCUGUUUGGGCCACCUGUGAGCAGUUCCCUGCAAGCCAGGCUCCCAGCCCUGGUAGGUAUUUUGUGGUGGCUGCAGUGGGAACUGGGAUCUUGGAGGAGGCUGGCAUUGCCUGUGUGCCUGACAAGCCUGGGAUGACUCCCCUUAGGGACCAUGGGAUCCUUUGCUGGGAGAGGGGUGAUGAAGGAGCUCAGUUUGCAGUGUCCACAGCUGUCCCACACUGUUUCAGCCAGCCAGUUUCCUAGGCGACCCUGCCAUUGUCCCAGCAACUGUGACUGGGGAGGCUGGGCCAGGGGGCUGGGCCAUGAACCCAUUGAGGGUGGUGGGUGGGCUGGGGGCCCUGGUAAGUUGGGUACACACAUGUGUAAAUGUGAAGACACGUGUGUUCAGCCAAGGGGGUGGGGCAGUGCCAGGCUCAGCAUGGUGAGUGCAGCUCAGCCCCCACCUGGAUCCUGGCGACUGCACAAUAGACUGUGUGAGCUGCACAAAGCGAGCAUUUUCCCUGAAGGCCCAGGGUGGGGUGGGGGAACUGGCAGGCAGCUGAAUGCCUCUUGCCCAUCCUAGAGAAUCCCACCCCAACUGCUCUGAGGGAAACUGAGGUGCAGAGUCUGUCUGGCUAGCAGCUGCUUGGUGAGCAUGCCAACUCCUCCCUCUCCCCAUGUGGUGCUGUGGGUCCUCAUACCUUGGUUAUGGACAUCAGAUGUUAGAAAAUAAAUCAGUGCCUAAAGUGGGGGAUUGGGUUGGGGGUAGUCUUCUCAUCCCAGGGUUGGGAGCAUUGGGCAGCAGGUGGGUGUGAAAGCCUGUGGUUGUGAGCUUAUUGGCUGCUCUAGGGAGUGCAGUAGGCAGAGAUGUUCUCUCAUCUCCUGUGGGCCCUGGCCCCUUACCUGGCCUGCUAUUCCCACCCCCCUCAUGGGUGCUGUGCUACCUUCAUACAUGUCUAUGCAGCCUUUUCUCCAUGUCACAAGCAUCCACAUCUCACGCAUUGGCUUUGCCUGCACGCACUCUGAGCUGCCCCUCCUGUGGUGGGUCUCCUGUGUGUGCCUUUUCAUGCUCACAGAGAACCUGAAGUGCCAAUGAGUACCCUGAGCCUCAAAGGGGAGGACACAGCCCUGGGUCCCUUUUGCUUCCCUUUUCCUCUAAACCCCCACAACCUGGAUAGAGCCCCUGGGAUUGGGAAACUGAGGCUGGAGAGGCCAGCUCUGGUCUCAAAUGCUGCCUCUGCCCCUACAGGGCUGGCCCUAUCUCCUUGGUGACCCUGCUUUCUGCCCAGCUGCUCCUGCCCCCACCCCCUCUUUGUCGCCUCCUCUGCCCCCACCAGGCUCCUACAGGGAAUCCCAGCUCAGGCUCCAGGCAAUGAAUUUUGCCUUGUCACUGUGGCAACAUCCCUAAAGCCUUUCUCCUGGGCCCCCUCUGCCCUGUUGUCCACCGUCAACCCUGGAGUUGCUACAACACUAGGGCCCUGGCACUGAUUGCUUCAAGCAGGUCAUCUGCCUUCUCUAAGUCCCUGUGUACUCAUCUGUAAAAUGGGUGGGGUGGUGUCCCUGCCUCCUUGCAGUGUGGACCAUUGGCUACCUGCCUGGAAAUAGGUGGUUUCUUUGGGCCUGAAGCUGUGCUAAGAGGCAGUUUGGAAUCUUCUCUGCCUUUGGGGUUCACCAUUCUCCUGUGUCUCUGACCUGCUUGAUCCCAACCUGCCAGACUUGCAGGCACACAAAUUCACUUGAGGCUGAAGUGGAGUAGUGCCCCAGCUUUGCGCCAGGUCUGGGGUAAUUGUGCUGGGUAGGUUUUUAUUUUCACUUCAUCUGCAGUAGGCCCAUUUUACAGAUAAACAAGUCAAGGUCCCACGAUAGUAUCCUGCUUACUGUAGCAGUGUGGAGCCUACACUCUGAGCCAGUAUACCUUGGGGGUAUAGAACUGGAACUGUUUCAGGGAGGGAGCCCCACUGGGUCUUAGAGAUCUAGACAGGUAGGUCAGGGCAGGGUUUGUCAGAAUAGUCCCAGGGAAGGAGAUUUGUGCAUUUCUCAUACUACAGUUUUUUGGCCUGUGCCUAUGUGUUCCUGUCCUUAAUCAGUCAUCUUCAGCUAUGGUGCACCUGGUGUGGAGUUUACAGGCCUACACAGAGAUGCGGCCACUGUCACCCAGAUGCAUUUCUUGUCUGGCCAGGGCCGCCUCCUGACUCUGCUGGAUGACAGUAGUCUGCAUCUCUGGGAGAUCAUCCACCAUAAUGGCUGUGCCCACUUGGAGGAAGCACUCAGCUUCCAGCCACCCAGCCGGCCCAGCUAUGAAGGUGUCAGGUACUAGAGAACUUGGCUGGGGCAAAUUUGAUGGGCAGGAGCUCCCAGGGAGACCAUUGGGAGCCAGCUGUGCCAAGGCACGAUGGUGACUGGCAGCAGCCAGUAGGGCUGAGGUUUAGGUAAGGGGUGCCUUGAACACAGCCUAGGAGGACCUUGCUUAGCUGAGAGCGCU